AUGAAAGCAAGUUCUCCCCUGGAGCCAUCUUGAUUUUGGACCAGUGAAACUGGUUUUGGACUUCUUACUCCAGAACUGCUCUACAAGAAGCAUGGUAUCAGCAUCUGCUUCUGAUGAUGCCUCAGGCUGCUUCCACUCAAGUUGGAAGGAAAAAGGGAGGCUGCAUGUGCAGAGAUCACACGGAGGAGGAGGAAGCAAAAGAGAACUUUCUAGCUCGAAAUCACGUAUGGAAGCUGAGUCACCUCCGUUUCUCCUGGAGCCCGAGCUGGCUGUCACCGAGACCUUGCUCAUUAUGCAGACUCAUUCACAUGCAUACCCAAAGCAACACUUGACGGUUGUGGAAGAUUUCCAUCCUCACAGGUCAUGAAAUGCGUCUCCACUGGAAUACUGGUUGUUUAUCACCUACACUAACGAUUUACAAUGGCCUAAGUGUUGUAUUCCUAGUGACUGUAGUCUGAAUCAAAAACUCCUGCCCUGAAGCAAGGACAACUUCUUUAUUCACAUGGAGAAUGAUAGCAGGGAAAAGGCAAAAAUUUAACAAUAACGAAGAAAAAUCCCUCUUUUUCUAUGUGCAGAAUAAAAAUCUUAUUAAAAUAA
This is a long non-coding RNA of Homo sapiens (human), 597 nucleotides long. RefSeq lists it as uncharacterized. NCBI's taxonomy places the organism in Eukaryota, Metazoa, Chordata, Mammalia, Primates, Hominidae. The record is from RefSeq and is a predicted model, not a curated record. The transcript has 3 exons.